CUUAAGAUGCAACCUUUCCCGGGACCAUCCAUGAACGCGGGAUGCUUUGUGCACCGGGAUGCCCUUUUGAACACCUCUUCAUUAAAAUAACUAAAUAAGUUUGGCAUGGCUAAAGUCCAAGGAUAGACAGAGACAAGUAGUGUAUUGUUUUUAUAGUUUAUCUUUAAAAGGUAAAUGACAGAGCAGCAACACCUUUUAGAAUCACACGGUGUAAUACACAUCAAUCUAAAUGACACUGACUAGAAUAUCUUGACCACUUAAACUAUCCAAUUAAGAACUUCAAGCAGCAAUAUCCUAUGUUUGAGCAAACAAAUGACCUUCAAAUUAAGCAAAGUAAACAAGUCUUCAUCCCUUAAAGAUGCAAUGACCUGAGAAAUUUUGGCCAACCAAAAAUUUAAAGCAAAAAAAGAAGAAAAAGAAAAAAAAAUAGAAUAGUCAUAACUUACAAGUAAUGAAUUGUGUUUAUAAUGUGUCCUAUAAAGGUACAGAAAAGAUAUGCAUGUUCCCCAAUCUGAAAGAGGAAGAUUAAAUCAACAGGCUACAGCAACCACUCUCUAGGAAAUCAGGAAAUUUCUUGAACCAAGCCAUUCACUUAGAUUGCAUAGAUGCCAAGUAAAGCCAUCAAUCCCACAAACUAAUAUCCAUUGCGUCUUACUAUAUGCAGUUGGCAAACAUCAAUUUGCUUACCAGCCCCCAAAAAAUGGUUGAGCGUGGAUUGAAAAACAAAGACCUCCCUGAGGAUACUAAAAAUCUACUUGGCAUAUCCUUAUUGAAAGAUCAAAGUGAAAAGAGAAUAAUGUCAUUAAUCUUAUAUCCUAUUUAGCAUUGAUAUAAUAUCCUUGCAACUUUUGCAUGUCUUUGGUAUUGAAUCAACCACAGAUCAAAAUAGAAAGGUGUCAGCUAUAGAAGAAAUUUUCCUUUGGCAGGAGAUAACUUCAAAGGAUCUGGCCAAAAUAAGAGAAGACAGAAAUGCAAGUACAGCCGAGAGAUCAAUCCCCUUCCAACUCGAAACAUUCUAGAGAGUAAGGAAGAAUAAUAUCAUAUAUAGAAGCAAAAUAAACUUUAGACUAUUUGUGCAUUUACUGAGGGAUAAAAUUGAUAUUACAUCCAAAUGACAAGAGUAGGACAUAGCAGCACCGAGUGACAGAUAGACAUGAAAAUGAGAAGAAAGUCCGGCAGGGUCUCCCAAAAGUGAAUUAAUUUACCACUAACAAUCUUUAAGUACACAAGACAAAUAAUAAUGCACCAAAGAGGACUUCUAUGACACUAACAAUAAAAAUAACAAUAUCAUCAAAAGAACUACUUACAGCAUAUGAUUCAGACUUCCUCCAGACUUCACUGUAAUCAAUAUCCUCCAAACUAGGGAGAUGUAGGCGAACUAUCUACUUGAUUCAGACUCAAUCCAGACUGCACUGUAAUCAAUAUUCUCCAAACAAAGGAGAUGUAGGCGACCUAGCCCAACAACAACAACAACAACACCUACCCAGUAAUGUCUCUCAAAGUGGGGUCUGGGGAGGGUAACAUGUAGACGAGCCUUACCCCUACCCUAAAGGGCAGAGAGGCUGUUUCCAGUCGACUCUCGGCUCAGUGAAGGAGAGGAAAAACAAAAACAAAAACAAAAACAAAGGAGCAUUAGUAAGUCCAGCAGAAAUAGCAUAAAUAAAUAUCUAAACAUAAGAACCAUAAAUAAAUAGCAUGCAAUAAUAUCACACAGUAACUACCAUAAAUAGCUAUCAUUAGGGAGACACAGUCACAUACACAAAUCAUCUAUGGAUAGCCCUGCCAAGCCUCACCCAACCCCGGGUGAGGAGCGCGAAAAACUCUAGGAGCCAUACACAAACCAUCUAUGCAUAGCCCUGCCAAGCCUCACCCAACCCCGGGUGAGGAGCGCGAAAAACUCUAGGAACCCCUAUCCUACUUAUACUAGACCUCCAGAAUUUUCUAUCAAGGGCCAUGUCCUCGGAAACUCGCAUUCUAGCCAUGUCAUGCCUAAUCACCUCUCCCNNNN
This 2008-nucleotide long non-coding RNA is filed under the name Nicotiana benthamiana. RNAcentral's name for it is "long non-coding RNA (NBEN_LNC019650)". The record is from RNAcentral. Lineage: Eukaryota; Viridiplantae; Streptophyta; Magnoliopsida; Solanales; Solanaceae.